UAGAGUUUGAUCCUGGCUCAGAUUGAACGCUGGCGGCAGGCUUAACACAUGCAAGUCGAGCGGGGAAAGGUAGCUUGCUACAUUUCCUAGCGGCGGACGGGUGAGUAAUGCUUAGGAAUCUGCCUAUUAGUGGGGGACAACAUUCCGAAAGGAAUGCUAAUACCGCAUACGCCCUACGGGGGAAAGCAGGGGAUCUUCGGACCUUGCGCUAAUAGAUGAGCCUAAGUCAGAUUAGCUAGUUGGUGGGGUAAAGGCCUACCAAGGCGACGAUCUGUAGCGGGUCUGAGAGGAUGAUCCGCCACACUGGGACUGAGACACGGCCCAGACUCCUACGGGAGGCAGCAGUGGGGAAUAUUGGACAAUGGGCGAAAGCCUGAUCCAGCCAUGCCGCGUGUGUGAAGAAGGCCUUUUGGUUGUAAAGCACUUUAAGCGAGGAGGAGGCUACCGUGAUUAAUACUCUAGGAUAGUGGACGUUACUCGCAGAAUAAGCACCGGCUAACUCUGUGCCAGCAGCCGCGGUAAUACAGAGGGUGCGAGCGUUAAUCGGAUUUACUGGGCGUAAAGCGUGCGUAGGCGGCUUCUUAAGUCGGAUGUGAAAUCCCUGAGCUUAACUUAGGAAUUGCAUUCGAUACUGGGAAGCUAGAGUAUGGGAGAGGAUGGUAGAAUUCCAGGUGUAGCGGUGAAAUGCGUAGAGAUCUGGAGGAAUACCGAUGGCGAAGGCAGCCAUCUGGCCUAAUACUGACGCUGAGGUACGAAAGCAUGGGGAGCAAACAGGAUUAGAUACCCUGGUAGUCCAUGCCGUAAACGAUGUCUACUAGCCGUUGGGGCCUUUGAGGCUUUAGUGGCGCAGCUAACGCGAUAAGUAGACCGCCUGGGGAAGUACGGUCGCAAGACUAAAACUCAAAUGAAUUGACGGGGGCCCGCACAAGCGGUGGAGCAUGUGGUUUAAUUCGAUGCAACGCGAAGAACCUUACCUGGUCUUGACAUAGUAA
This 992-nucleotide ribosomal RNA is filed under the name uncultured bacterium. RNAcentral's name for it is "bacterial SSU rRNA". It matches the Rfam family "Bacterial small subunit ribosomal RNA", at positions 1 to 992 of the family's 1533-position model. The record is from RNAcentral.